CCUACGGGAGGCAGCAGUCGGGAAUAUUGGACAAUGGAGGAAACUCUGAUCCAGCAAUGCCGCGUGUGUGAUGAAGGCCCUAGGGUUGUAAAGCACUUUCAACGGUGAAGAUGAUGACGGUAGCCGUAGAAGAAGCCCCGGCUAACUUCGUGCCAGCAGCCGCGGUAAUACGAAGGGGGCGAGCGUUGUUCGGAAUUAUUGGGCGUAAAGGGCGCGCAGGCGGUUUGGAUAGUUAGACGUGAAAGCCCUGGGCUUAACCUAGGAACUGCGUUUAAUACUGCCAAACUAGAGAACUAGAGAGGAUAGCGGAACUCCCAGUGUAGAGGUGAAAUUCGUAGAUAUUGGGAAGAACAUCAGUGGCGAAAGCGGCUGUCUGGCUAGUUUCUGACGCUGAGGCGCGAAAGCGUGGGGAGCAAACAGGAUUAGAUACCCCAGUAGUC
RNAcentral lists this ribosomal RNA (440 nucleotides) under uncultured bacterium. Its description in RNAcentral is "bacterial SSU rRNA". It matches the Rfam family "Bacterial small subunit ribosomal RNA", at positions 338 to 795 of the family's 1533-position model. The record is from RNAcentral.